RNA transcript from Pogoniulus pusillus (Red-fronted tinkerbird), 1992 nucleotides. It is a transcript of the gene named RNA binding region (RNP1, RRM) containing 3, with no coding region annotated. Lineage: Eukaryota; Metazoa; Chordata; Aves; Piciformes; Lybiidae. The transcript has 16 exons. The record is from RefSeq and is a predicted model, not a curated record.
CAGCUGCCAUGGCGGCGCCGGGCUGUGAGGAGCCGCGGGCGGCUGGCGCCGGGCCGGGGCCCGGGCCGCUUCACCCCGGGCUGCCGCCUCACCCCGGCCUGCCGCCUCACCCCGGCGUGGCGCGGCGGCGAGGCCGGACGCUGCUGGUGCGGCACCUGCCCGCCGAGCUGACGGCGGCGGAGAAGGAGGAUCUGCUGAAACACUUCGGGGCGGUGUCUGUGCGCGUCCUGUCGGACCACGGGCGUCUGAAACAUACUGCUUUUGCUACCUUCCUCAGUGAAAAUGCAGCUGUGAAGGCUUUGUCAAGACUGCAUCAGCUGAAACUUUUAGGCCACACCUUAGUUGUUGAAUUUGCAAAGGAGCAAGAUAGUGCGCAGGUACUUAGCCAACCUUCUGUCUCAGAGAAGUGUAACAGUUCAGAAGAACCAGUGAAAGAAGAAGAGAAGAAAGAACCAACUUGUGUUAAAAUAGAGAGUGGAAUUGCACCAAACCAUGGCCUCACCUUUCCGAUCAAUUCCUGCCUCAAAUAUUUGUAUCCACCACCUUCAAGUACAAUUCUAGCAAAUAUUGCAAAUGCCUUGGCAAGUGUGCCUAAAUUUUAUGUCCAGGUACUUCACCUUAUGAAUAAAAUGAAUCUUCCUCCACCUUUUGGACCAAUUACUGCUCGCCCUCCUAUGUAUGAUGAGUAUUUACCAGUGCCUGUGCCACCGCCCCCAAUCCCACCUUUGCCUCCUGAAGAGCCUCCUUUACCUGAAGAAGAAGAGCCACUAUCUAGUGAAGAUGAAUCAGAAUAUGAAAGUGAUAAUGAGGAGGAAAAGGAGAGAAUGACCAAGCUGAUGGAAUUAGCAACUCUUCAGCCUAAAAGACCAAUAAACACAAAGAAGCGUGGUGUUAGAAAAAGGCAAAGAAUUAAAGACUUGCUGAAUAUUCCUGUGUGUACUCCCCACAGUAAUUUGCACCCUACACUGUCACCUUCAGAUGUCUUUGAGCAGCCACAGCAUGUAGGUCAUAGGAAAAUUGAGUUCCAUAUUACUACUGACAUCCCAGCUGUUCUUCAGAACAACUCAGAAAAAGAGAAAAAUGACCUUUAUGCAGCUGCAGAGGAAAUCAAUAAUACAGGCUUUGGAAGGAUAUUUCCAGCUCCUAGCUCAAAUGAUAAGAUGGAAACUGAAGAGGAGGAAGAUGAAAUACCAUCAGAAUUUAUUUCUAAAAGAGAUCUAGAGAAAAACAGGCUUUCUAGAGAAGAAAUGGAAAAAUACUCUGUUUUCAAAAACUAUGAGCCAGGUGAUCCAAACUGCAGGAUAUAUGUGAAGAAUUUAGCUAAACAAGUUCAAGAAAAGGAUCUCAAGUUCAUUUUUGGAAGAUAUGUUGACUUCCAGUCAGAAGUGGAACGAAAUAUGUUUGAUAUACGUUUGAUGAAAGAAGGCCGUAUGAAGGGACAAGCUUUCAUUGGACUUCCUAAUGAAAAAGCAGCUGCUAAAGCUUUAAAAGAAGCAAAUGGAUAUGUCUUAUUUGAAAAGCCCAUGGUGGUUCAAUUUGCUCGUUCAGCUAGACCAAAACAGGAUGCCAACGAAGGGAAAAGGAAAAAGUAGAACACUGCGCAAGAAACAUUCCUGCGUGUAAAUACUGCAGUAAUACUGUCAUGCAGAGUGUAUCCUUUCUUGUUGUAUCCUUUUGUUGUGCAAUGUUUCCUGCAGCGCUCCGCUACAUCUUUUCAUACCGAGUAGGCAUGGGGAGGAGUUUACCUGGUGUAGAGCUUGAACUAAUGGUCCCUUUUGUGUUCCAUCUCUUUCAAGUGUUAUCAGCCUGAGGGGAGAAGCAGUGUAAUCGUCGGGACUCUUGAACUGUGCGUAGUAACGUUUCUAAAGUAUCUGAGGCAGAGUAUAAAUUUUCUCAUCCUAAAGAUUUCAGCUACCUUUUAAACUGUUCCAAGACUUAAAUGUAUGUUAGUUUGCUUGUGAAAUCUCUAAUAAAUUAUUUCCUUUCUCUUCA